Patiria miniata (bat star) is the source of this 321-nucleotide long non-coding RNA. RefSeq lists it as uncharacterized. The record is from RefSeq and is a predicted model, not a curated record. The transcript has 3 exons. NCBI's taxonomy places the organism in Eukaryota, Metazoa, Echinodermata, Asteroidea, Valvatida, Asterinidae.
CCGUGUUUUUUUUUAACAUAGAACAAGCCAAAUAUUUUUAAUUUGUUUUUCUUCAAAUUUGGUCACUUUCUUUUGGACUCAUCCUGUAGUUGGUUCAACCGGUCACAUGGGAUUAAACUUGAUGAAUACAUCCUGAAAAUGUCUUUGGGGAUAAUGACAGUAUAUGGAUGUGAUUGGACGGAGGAGCAGAUAUAUAAAGUGUUUGAGGACCUACAUGGAUCUGUUUGGGCCUAUAACGACAUCCAUUCACUAGGAAUCAAAUUUAGUACAAUUGGUUUUCGAUUUCAUCCAUAUAACUAUUCAUCUUCUUUUUCGUAUAUG